GACGAACGCUGGCGGCAGGCUUAACACAUGCAAGUCGAACGAACCUUCGGGUUAGUGGCAGACGGGUGCGUAACACGUGGGAACCUACCUUAAGGUACGGAAUAACUCAGGGAAACUUGUGCUAAUACCGUAUAUGUCUUCGGAUGAAAGAUUUAUCGCCUUAAGAUGGGCCCGCGGCUGAUUAGUUUGUUGGUGGGGUAAUGGCCUACCAAGACUACGAUCAGUAGCUGGUCUGAGAGGAUGAUCAGCCACACUGGAACUGAGACACGGUCCAGACUCCUACGGGAGGCAGCAGUGAGGAAUAUUGGACAAUGGGGGCAACCCUGAUCCAGCCAUGCCGCGUGAGUGAUGAAGGCCUUAGGGUUGUAAAACUCUUUCACCGGUAAAGAUAAUGACGGUAACCGGAGAAGAAGCCCCGGCUAAUUUCG
This 428-nucleotide ribosomal RNA is filed under the name uncultured Alphaproteobacteria bacterium. RNAcentral's name for it is "bacterial SSU rRNA". It matches the Rfam family "Bacterial small subunit ribosomal RNA", at positions 28 to 505 of the family's 1533-position model. The record is from RNAcentral. Lineage: Bacteria; Pseudomonadati; Pseudomonadota; Alphaproteobacteria.